GACGAACGCUGGCGGCGUGCUUAACACAUGCAAGUCGAACGGAAAGGCCCUGCAUUUGUGGGGUGCUCGAGUGGCGAACGGGUGAGUAACACGUGAGUAACCUGCCCUUGACUUUGGGAUAGCUUCAGGAAACUGGGGCUAAUACCGGAUAGGAGCUCCUGCUGCAUGGUGGGGGUUGGAAAGUUUCGGCGGUUGGGGAUGGACUCGCGGCUUAUCAGCUUGUUGGUGGGGUAGUGGCUUACCAAGGCUUUGACGGGUAGCCGGCCUGAGAGGGUGACCGGCCACAUUGGGACUGAGAUACGGCCCAGACUCCUACGGGAGGCAGCAGGGGGGAAUAUUGCACAAUGGGCGGAAGCCUGAUGCAGCAACGCCGCGUGCGGGAUGACGGCCUUCGGGUUGUAAACCGCUUUCGCCUGUGACGAAGCGUGAGUGACGGUAAUGGGUAAAGAAGCACCGGCUAACUACGUG
Molecule: ribosomal RNA, 468 nt
Filed under: uncultured bacterium
Lineage: Bacteria
Description: partial 16S ribosomal RNA
Rfam family: Bacterial small subunit ribosomal RNA
Source: RNAcentral